Molecule: ribosomal RNA, 697 nt
Filed under: Flavobacterium sp. 29AGV
Lineage: Bacteria; Pseudomonadati; Bacteroidota; Flavobacteriia; Flavobacteriales; Flavobacteriaceae
Description: bacterial SSU rRNA
Rfam family: Bacterial small subunit ribosomal RNA
Source: RNAcentral
CAGUCGAGGGGUAUAGUUCUUCGGAAUUAGAGACCGGCGCACGGGUGCGUAACGCGUAUGCAAUCUACCUUUUACAGAGGGAUAGCCCAGAGAAAUUUGGAUUAAUACCUCAUAGUAUAGCAGUUUCGCAUGAAACCACUAUUAAAGUCACAACGGUAAAAGAUGAGCAUGCGUCCCAUUAGCUAGUUGGUAAGGUAACGGCUUACCAAGGCUACGAUGGGUAGGGGUCCUGAGAGGGAGAUCCCCCACACUGGUACUGAGACACGGACCAGACUCCUACGGGAGGCAGCAGUGAGGAAUAUUGGACAAUGGGCGCAAGCCUGAUCCAGCCAUGCCGCGUGCAGGAUGACGGUCCUAUGGAUUGUAAACUGCUUUUAUACAGGAAGAAACCCUGGUUCGUGAACCAGCUUGACGGUACUGUAAGAAUAAGGAUCGGCUAACUCCGUGCCAGCAGCCGCGGUAAUACGGAGGAUCCAAGCGUUAUCCGGAAUCAUUGGGUUUAAAGGGUCCGUAGGCGGUUUAAUAAGUCAGUGGUGAAAGCCCAUCGCUCAACGGUGGAACGGCCAUUGAUACUGUUAAACUUGAAUUAUUAGGAAGUAACUAGAAUAUGUAGUGUAGCGGUGAAAUGCUUAGAGAUUACAUGGAAUACCAAUUGCGAAGGCAGGUUACUACUAAUGGAUUGACGCUGAUGGACGAA